UUCGCAAUGCCCGAAAGGGUGACGAAGCGACGCCGCGUGUGGGAAGAAGGCCUUCGGGUUGUAAACCACUGUCGGGAGUUAGGAAGUGUAGGGAUAUGAAUAAUGUCUUUACUUGACUAAGGCUCCGGAGGAAGCCACGGCUAACUCUGUGCCAGCAGCCGCGGUAAUACAGAGGCGGCAAGCGUUGUUCGGAAUUAUUGGGCGUAAAGAGCACGUAGGCGGCUUUGCAAGUCAGUUGUGAAAGCCUUCCUCUUAAAGGAAGAACUGCAUCUGAUACUACAAGGCUUGAGUGCGGGAGGGGAGAGUGGAACUUCUGGUGGAGCGGUGAAAUGCGUAGAUAUCAGAAGGAACGCCGGCGGCGAACGCGACUCUCUGGCCCGUAACUGACGCUGAGUGUGCGAAAGCUAGGGGAGCAAACGGGAUUAGAUACCCCGGUAGUCCUAGCCGUAAACGAUGGGCACUAAGUAGAGGGGUUUU
RNAcentral lists this ribosomal RNA (477 nucleotides) under Candidatus Brocadia fulgida. Its description in RNAcentral is "bacterial SSU rRNA". It matches the Rfam family "Bacterial small subunit ribosomal RNA", at positions 365 to 832 of the family's 1533-position model. The record is from RNAcentral. Lineage: Bacteria; Pseudomonadati; Planctomycetota; Candidatus Brocadiia; Candidatus Brocadiales; Candidatus Brocadiaceae.